CUUGAGAUUCUGUGGAAUCUCAGAGAACACUCGAAGCACCAAUUACUACAAGGCAAUUAUAAACAAGAACUGAUUGAUGGGUACAGAAACUUAGAAUUUAACGGAUCUCAUGGAAGCACUAUUUCAAAAAUGUCAUAACAAUAAAUAAAUAAACAUCGAAGUUGUA
This is a long non-coding RNA of Leptinotarsa decemlineata (Colorado potato beetle), 166 nucleotides long. The record is from RefSeq and is a predicted model, not a curated record. Lineage: Eukaryota; Metazoa; Arthropoda; Insecta; Coleoptera; Chrysomelidae.